This 480-nucleotide unclassified non-coding RNA is filed under the name uncultured fungus. Its description in RNAcentral is "partial contains small subunit ribosomal RNA, internal transcribed spacer 1, and 5.8S ribosomal RNA". The stretch from base 1 to 73 matches the Rfam family "Eukaryotic small subunit ribosomal RNA", at positions 1759 to 1831 of the family's 1831-position model. Lineage: Eukaryota; Fungi. The record is from RNAcentral.
UCAAACUUGGUCAUUUAGAGGAAGUAAAAGUCGUAACAAGGUUUCCGUAGGUGAACCUGCGGAAGGAUCAUUAACAAAUCGAAUCACGAUGCAAAACGAUCAGGUGAGCGAAGCGAAGCUGGUUGUUUUGCAGAGUCAGCGAGUGGUGUCAGUGAUUGCUGUCAAGCAAUCAAUGAUACCAUGAGCUGCUAAUACAUCUGUGGAUGCGCGAGCAAGCAUAGAUGUAGCGAGCGGUGUACAGUAGCAAUAUUGUACGCUGCUGCAGAUGCAGUAGUAAUGCUGUAGCUGCAGAGUCAGGCAAACCUUAUUGCAUUGCAAUAUUGCAUGCCUGAUUCGCACCGCAAUCAUGCAUCACAGAUCCGCUCACGCAGAUCUUUGCUACAUAAUUGCUGGACACACGAUACAUAUUGACAAAAUAGACAAAAUAUAUACACUUUUAACAAUGGAUCUCUGGGCUCUUGCAUCGAUGAAGAACGCAGC